GAACCUUCGGGGAACGAUAACGGCGUCGAGCGGCGGACGGGUGAGUAAUGCCUAGGAAAUUGCCCUGAUGUGGGGGAUAACCAUUGGAAACGAUGGCUAAUACCGCAUGAUGCCUACGGGCCAAAGAGGGGGACCUUCGGGCCUCUCGCGUCAGGAUAUGCCUAGGUGGGAUUAGCUAGUUGGUGAGGUAAGGGCUCACCAAGGCGACGAUCCCUAGCUGGUCUGAGAGGAUGAUCAGCCACACUGGAACUGAGACACGGUCCAGACUCCUACGGGAGGCAGCAGUGGGGAAUAUUGCACAAUGGGCGCAAGCCUGAUGCAGCCAUGCCGCGUGUGUGAAGAAGGCCUUCGGGUUGUAAAGCACUUUCAGUCGUGAGGAAGG
RNAcentral lists this ribosomal RNA (382 nucleotides) under Vibrio parahaemolyticus. Its description in RNAcentral is "bacterial SSU rRNA". It matches the Rfam family "Bacterial small subunit ribosomal RNA", at positions 69 to 451 of the family's 1533-position model. Lineage: Bacteria; Pseudomonadati; Pseudomonadota; Gammaproteobacteria; Vibrionales; Vibrionaceae. The record is from RNAcentral.